This 468-nucleotide ribosomal RNA is filed under the name uncultured bacterium. RNAcentral describes it as "partial 16S ribosomal RNA". It matches the Rfam family "Bacterial small subunit ribosomal RNA", at positions 28 to 507 of the family's 1533-position model. The record is from RNAcentral.
GACGAACGCUGGCGGCGUGCUUAACACAUGCAAGUCGAACGGAAAGGCCCUGCUUUUGUGGGGUGCUCGAGUGGCGAACGGGUGAGUAACACGUGAGUAACCUGCCCUUGACUAUGGGAUAACUUCAGGAAACUGGGGCUAAUACCGGAUAGGAGCUCCUGCUGCAUGGUGGGGGUUGGAAAGUUUCGGCGGUUGGGGAUGGACUCGCGGCUUAUCAGCUUGUUGGUGGGGUAGUGGCUUACCAAGGCGUUGACGGGUAGCCGGCCUGAGAGGGUGACCGGCCACAUUGGGACUGAGAUACGGCCCAGACUCCUACGGGAGGCAGCAGUGGGGAAUAUUGCACAAUGGGCGGAAGCCUGAUGCAGCAACGCCGCGUGCGGGAUGACGGCCUUCGGGUUGUAAACCGCUUUCGCCUGUGACGAAGCGUGAGUGACGGUAAUGGGUAAAGAAGCACCGGCUAACUACGUG